GACGAACGCUGGCGGCGUGCUUAACACAUGCAAGUCGAGCGGAAAGGCCCUGCUUUUGUGGGGUGCUCGAGUGGCGAAAGGGUGAGUAACAAGUGAGUAACCUGCCCUUGACUUUGGGGUAACUUCAGGAAACUGGGGCUAAUACCGGAUAGGAGCUCCUGCUGCAUGGUGGGGGGUGGAAAGUUUCGGCGGUUGGGGAUGGACUCGCGGCUUAUCAGCUUGUUGGUGGGGUAGUGGCUUACCAAGGCUUUGACGGGUAGCCGGCCUGAGAGGGUGACCGGCCACAUUGGGACUGAGAUACGGCCCAGACUCCUACGGGAGGCAGCAGUGGGGAAUAUUGCACAAUGGGCGGAAGCCUGAUGCAGCAACGCCGCGUGCGGGAUGACGGCCUUCGGGUUGUAAACCGCUUUCGCCUGUGACGAAGCGUGAGUGACGGUAAUGGGUAAAGAAGCACCGGCUAACUACGUG
Molecule: ribosomal RNA, 468 nt
Filed under: uncultured bacterium
Lineage: Bacteria
Description: partial 16S ribosomal RNA
Rfam family: Bacterial small subunit ribosomal RNA
Source: RNAcentral